GACGAACGCUGGCGGUGUGCUUAACACAUGCAAGUCGAACGGAAAGGCCCCUUUCGGGGGGUACUCGAGUGGCGAACGGGUGAGUAACACGUGAGUAACCUGCCCUUGACUUUGGGAUAACUUCCGGAAACAGGGGCUAAUACCGGAUAGGAGCUCCUGCUGCAUGGUGGGGGUUGGAAAGUUUCGGCGGUUGGGGAUGGACUCGCGGCUUAUCAGCUUGUUGGUGGGGUAGUGGCUUACCAAGGCUUUGACGGGUAGCCGGCCUGAGAGGGUGACCGGCCACAUUGGGACUGAGGUACGGCCCAGACUCCUACGGGAGGCAGCAGUGGGGAAUAUUGCACAAUGGGUGGAAGCCUGAUGCAGCAACGCCGUGUGCGGGAUGACGGCCUUCGGGUUGUAAACCGCUUUCGCUCAUGACGAAGCUUUGUGUGACGGUAGUGAGUAAAGAAGCACCGGCUAACUACGUG
This 467-nucleotide ribosomal RNA is filed under the name uncultured bacterium. RNAcentral describes it as "partial 16S ribosomal RNA". It matches the Rfam family "Bacterial small subunit ribosomal RNA", at positions 28 to 507 of the family's 1533-position model. The record is from RNAcentral.